RNAcentral lists this unclassified non-coding RNA (358 nucleotides) under soil metagenome. RNAcentral describes it as "partial contains 5.8S ribosomal RNA, internal transcribed spacer 2, and large subunit ribosomal RNA". The stretch from base 1 to 120 matches the Rfam family "5.8S ribosomal RNA", at positions 35 to 154 of the family's 154-position model. The record is from RNAcentral.
GAUGAAGAACGUAGCGAAAUGCGAUAAGUAAUGUGAAUUGCAGAAUCCAGUGAAUCAUCGAAUCUUUGAACGCACAUUGCGCCCGCCAGCAUUCUGGCGGGCAUGCCUGUUCGAGCGUCAUUUCAACCCUCGACCUCCCUUUGGGGAAGUCGGCGUUGGGGACCGGCAGCACACCGCCGGCCCUGAAAUGGAGUGGCGGCCCGUCCGCGGCGACCUCUGCGUAGUAAUCCAACUCGCACCGGAACCCCGACGCGGCCACGCCGUAAAACACCCCGACCACGGAGCCCCGGCUCCUGAACGUUGACCUCGGAUCAGGUAGGAAUACCCGCUGAACUUAAGCAUAUCAAUAAGCGGAGGA